Molecule: ribosomal RNA, 505 nt
Filed under: uncultured bacterium
Lineage: Bacteria
Description: partial 16S ribosomal RNA
Rfam family: Bacterial small subunit ribosomal RNA
Source: RNAcentral
AUUGAACGCUGGCGGCAGGCCUAACACAUGCAAGUCGAACGGUAGCACAGAGGAGCUUGCUCCUUGGGUGACGAGUGGCGGACGGGUGAGUAAUGUCUGGGAAGCUGCCUGAUGGAGGGGGAUAACUACUGGAAACGGUAGCUAAUACCGCAUAACGUCGCAAGACCAAAGCGGGGGACCUUCGGGCCUCUUGCCAUCAGAUGUGCCCAGAUGGGAUUAGCUAGUAGGUGGGGUAAUGGCUCACCUAGGCGACGAUCCCUAGCUGGGCUGAGAGGAGACCCGCCAAAACGGAAACUGAGCAACGGUCAAGACUCCACGGGGGGGAAGCAGUGGGAAAAAUGGAAAAAUGGGGGCAAGCUGAAUGCGGCCAGGCGGCGUGUAUAAGGAAGGCCUUCGGGUGUUAAGUACUUUCAGCGGGGAGGAAGGUGAUACGGUUAAUAACCGUGUCAAUUGACGUUACCCGCAGAAGAAGCACCGGCUAACUCCGUGCCAGCCGCCGCGGUAA